UACGGGGGGGGCAAGCGUUGUUCGGAAUUACUGGGCGUAAAGGGCGCGUAGGCGGUUGGAUAAGUCAGCUGUGAAAACCACGGGCUUAACUCGUGGCCUGCAGUUGAGACUGUCUGGCUUGAGUGUGGGAGAGGAGAGUGGAAUUCCUGGUGUAGCGGUGAAAUGCGUAGAUAUCAGGAGGAACACCGGUGGCGAAGGCGGCUCUCUGGACGAUGACUGACGCUGAGACGCGAAAGCGUGGGGAGCAAACAGG
This 253-nucleotide ribosomal RNA is filed under the name uncultured bacterium. Its description in RNAcentral is "partial 16S ribosomal RNA". It matches the Rfam family "Bacterial small subunit ribosomal RNA", at positions 524 to 776 of the family's 1533-position model. The record is from RNAcentral.